RNAcentral lists this ribosomal RNA (616 nucleotides) under uncultured bacterium. RNAcentral describes it as "bacterial SSU rRNA". It matches the Rfam family "Bacterial small subunit ribosomal RNA", at positions 338 to 961 of the family's 1533-position model. The record is from RNAcentral.
CCUACGGGAGGCAGCAGUAAGGAAUAUUGGACAAUGGACGCAAGUCUGAUCCAGCCAUGCCGCGUGAAGGAUUAAGGCCCUCUGGGUUGUAAACUUCUUUUAUAGGGGACGAAAAAAGGGCUUUCUAGCUCGACUGACGGUACCCUAUGAAUAAGCACCGGCUAACUCCGUGCCAGCAGCCGCGGUAAUACGGAGGGUGCAAGCGUUAUCCGGAUUCACUGGGUUUAAAGGGUGCGUAGGCGGGCAGUUAAGUCAGUGGUGAAAUCUUCGAGCUCAACUCGGAAACUGCCAUUGAUACUAUCUGUCUUGAAUAUUGUGGAGGUGAGCGGAAUAUGUCAUGUAGCGGUGAAAUGCUUAGAUAUGACAUAGAACACCAAUUGCGUAGGCAGCUCGCUACACAAAUAUUGACGCUGAGGCACGAAAGCGUGGGGAUCAAACAGGAUUAGAUACCCUGGUAGUCCACGCCCUAAACUAUGAUUACUCGACAUAUGCGAUACACUGUAUGUGUCUGAGCGAAAGCAUUAAGUAAUCCACCUGGGAAGUACGACCGCAAGGUUGAAACUCAAAGGAAUUGACGGCUUGGAGACGNGCGAGGACGACACGAGGGGAGGUUAGG